RNAcentral lists this long non-coding RNA (2272 nucleotides) under Equus caballus (horse). RNAcentral's name for it is "lncRNA (ENSECAG00000055409.1)". The record is from RNAcentral. Lineage: Eukaryota; Metazoa; Chordata; Mammalia; Perissodactyla; Equidae.
CUUGAUUUCUAUAGGUCUGGAAUCUGAGCAUGGCUUAGCUGGGUCCUCCAGCUCAGCAACUUUCACAGGCUGUAGUCAUCUCAGUGAGCAACUGAAGGAAAAUCUGCCUUCAAGCUCACUGGCGUGCAUGGUUGUUGACGGGAUUCCAUUCCUUGCAGGCAUUUGGACUGAGGGCCUCAUUUACUCACUGGCUGUCGGCCAAUUCCUUACCAUAUGGGCCUCCCCACAGGGCAACUUGAAAUAUGUCAUCUUCCUUCCCCAGAGCAAGGAGAGCCAUAGAGUGAGAGAGCAGGUUAGCAAAAGAUAGUGCUGGCAAGAGGGGAGUCACAGACUUUUAAAACCUAGUCUUGGAAGUGACAUCCCCUCACUUUUGCCAUAUCCCAUUCCUUAGAAUCAGAUUACUAGGUCCAGCUGCACAAAAGAGGAAGGGAUUACAGGAGGGCACAAAUACCAGGAGGCAAAGAGCAUUAGGAGCUAUCUUAGUAAUCAGCCUAUCAUAGCAGGGAUAUUUCAUCUCAUCCUCCUUAAGUUCAUUAUUUGGAGUUUAGGCAAUUUUCCCUCUAACAGGAAUGUACCAGUUCAAUAGCUGAAAGAUCCCAGGGCCGUGCUUGGCUAUGAUCAAAUCGCUUUUAGCGAACAGACAGGAGUAGAAUGGAGCCAGCAACUUUCCGAGGGCUGUGCUAACGGCGUAAGAGCUGCAUUCCUAAGGAAUAUGGUAGUGAGACAUACAACGUUUGUGUUUCUCAUGAACUUCAUUUAUGAGCUUCACUAAAGCACAUCUCAUUUGGGCAGGAAAUGAAGUAUAGCACAUGCCACAUACCUUAUAGACAAGUCUUAACAUGGCCCCAGUUCUACCCUUUGUUUCAACUUCGGCCAAGAAAUUUAAUCUUCAUCAGAAAAGAAUUCCAAGACAAGUUUCCAGCCUCCACCAGUUCCAGUUUUUAUGUACACCGUGGAUGACAGAGAGUGAAAGGACCCUUUUAUCUCUGAUCCAGCACCUGGGCUCUGCAGACACGUUCACCUGAUUGUCUCCCAGGUCAUGACUUCACCUAUACAGAAACCACAUUGAAUUUUCCACGGAUGCCCUCUAUGUCCUUUUGAUCAGGACAAAAGAAUGAGUCAAUAUUUAUGGAACAGGGAUGAGGAAGGAGACAUAUGCUAACUGUUGUGAACUUUUAACUAAUUUUGAAGGGACAGUCAUGAAUGUUGGUAAGUAUGAAUGAGAACUGUAAAAAUUGGUGUCUACUUUGUACAUACCUCAAUAUCCCCGUGGAAUUGGUUGUUGGUUUUCUGUUACACGUUUUUGUAGAAGCUCAAGAUCUCUGCAGAAUUUUAAAAUAAAAAUACGUAUAAGCAAUAAAAUAUUAAACUAGACAAUAAUCAUAUGUUAGAAUAGUUAGGGAAGAAUUUUAACAUGAGAAAAAGGCAAUAAUAGUCUUCCUGAUGAUUCUGCAUAAAUAGCAGAGUUCUAUAGUAAUCAAGGAAUAAAAUAGUUUUUGCCCAGCACAAAGUUAUAUAUGCAUGAAUGUCAAAAUUAAAAUAUUUAUGAAGUCUGUGUUUCUGCAGGUCACAACAAUCUAAUAAAUGAUAUUUCUCCAUCUUGGGGCUCAUUUGCUACUGUAGGAUUUCUAGACUUCUGCAAAGUAAAAUCUAUUACAUUUGGGUGUCCUCAGAGGUUUUUUUUUUUUUUUUUUUUUUUUGGUGAAGAAGAUUGGCCUGGAGCUAACAUCUGUUGCCAGUCUUCCUCUUUUUGCUUGCGGAAGAGUGUCACUGAGUUAACAUCCAUGCCAAUCUUGCUCUAUUUUGUAUGUGGGAUGUCGCCACAGCAUGGGUUGAUGAGUGAUAUGUAGGUCCACGCCCAGGAUCUGAACCUGCAAACCCCAAGCUGCCAAAACGGAGCAGGCAAACUUAACCCUUAUGUCACCGGGAUGGCCCCAUCAGAGGGUAUUUUUAUGGCCUCUCAGUUAGCAGGUUGCAUCUUCUAGUUUCUUUCUCUCCAGCUCCUCUUUAGUGAUGUUAUUGGUUGGACAUUUGCCAACCACUAGAUUGCAUGAGCAUCAUUUGGCAUGCCAUGCUGCUGAGGUCCACUUGAAGAUCUCUAAAUUGGUUUGCUGUGCCCAGCCACCAAUAUCGCUGCUAUGGCAGGGGGUUGUAGGUUGCAGCAUCACUGCCUACUAUUGCAGUGGCAGCAAUAGUAUCACGGAGAAUGAUCAUGGUGCUGUGUCUGCCUCUGGCUGUUGUUGGAAGCUGUUGGCCCCAGAUGCCAUCAGAG